GGUUCCAUGGCGCAAUGGUAGCGCGUCUGACUCCAGAUCAGACGGUUGGGAGUUCAAGUCUCUCUGGGGCCA
This 72-nucleotide transfer RNA is filed under the name Amphiamblys sp. WSBS2006. It matches the Rfam family "tRNA". Rfam says of the family: Transfer RNA (tRNA) molecules are approximately 80 nucleotides in length. Their secondary structure includes four short double-helical elements and three loops (D, anti-codon, and T loops). Lineage: Eukaryota; Fungi; Microsporidia; Amphiacanthidae. The record is from Rfam by way of RNAcentral.